UCAUGAAAAAGGAACAACAACAACUUCAAAAUAAUGUGAAACAAAAGCACAAGAAACAGUUGGUAGUAACAGAAAUCGAGGGACAAAAACUAAUCAAGUCAUAAUUUUGUUCCUGUGGGCUGUGGGAAAGAUAAAUGAAGAAGCUUUUUCUUGUGUAGAACUGAAGUCAAGUUAGUUGUUAACUCUGUUGAAGCUGUUAGAAGCAGCAUCAAGAAAAGUACAUAAAAACUAGUAUGCUUUUCCUCGUUUUUCCUUUAUGUUUUCAGACAAAAAUGGAAAGCUGUUAAAUCAUACUAGACGACGUUUCUUUCCCUUUUUUUGUGGCCGAAAGGUUGAGAUCAUGGAGGAAUCGACAGAAGUGAAAUGAAGGAAAGAAAAAGUUGAUUCUUUCUACCUGAAAUUCUGAGAUACUGUUAAGCAAGUCACCUCUCAUUCAAAUACUUCCAAAACAAAACAGUUGGAGAAAAGAAUGUAAAAGACUUGCUUUAUAAUGCUGGAAAAUAUGGACGGUACAAGAAACAAACAUAUUGCCCUUUAGCUUUUGACUGCCGAUAACUGCUUUUGUCGACAGCUUUUUAAGAACAUAAACCCUUUGUGCUGAGGGUCUAUCGGAAACUGCCUCUCUACCUCUGAGCAUAGGGGUAAGGUCAUGUACACUCUAUCCUCUCCAGACCCCACUUUGUGAGACUAUACUGAGUAUUUUGUUAUUGUUCUUAAGAGUAGAAACACC
This 730-nucleotide long non-coding RNA is filed under the name Solanum tuberosum (potato). Its description in RNAcentral is "long non-coding RNA (STUB_LNC008737)". The record is from RNAcentral. Lineage: Eukaryota; Viridiplantae; Streptophyta; Magnoliopsida; Solanales; Solanaceae.